GACGAACGCUGGCGGCGUGCUUAACACAUGCAAGUCGAACGGAAAGGCCCUGCUUUUGUGGGGUGCUCGAGUGGCGAACGGGUGAGUAACACGUGAGUAACCUGCCCUUGACUUUGGGAUAACUUCAGGAAACUGGGGCUAAUAUCGGAUAGGAGCUCCUGCUGCAUGGUGGGGGUUGGAAAGUUUCGGCGGUUGGGGAUGGACUCGCGGCUUAUCGGCUUGUUGGUGGGGUAGUGGCUUACCAAGGCUUUGACGGGUAGCCGGCCUGAGAGGGUGACCGGCGACAUUGGGACUGCGAUACGGCCCAGACUCCUACGGGAGGCAGCAGUGGGGAAUAUUGCACAAUGGGCGGGAGCCUGAUGCAGCAACGCCGCGUGCGGGAUGACGGCCUUCGGGUUGUAAACCGCUUUCGCCUGUGACGAAGCGUGAGUGACGGUAAUGGGUAAAGAAGCACCGGCUAACUACGUG
This 468-nucleotide ribosomal RNA is filed under the name uncultured bacterium. RNAcentral describes it as "partial 16S ribosomal RNA". It matches the Rfam family "Bacterial small subunit ribosomal RNA", at positions 28 to 507 of the family's 1533-position model. The record is from RNAcentral.